RNAcentral lists this long non-coding RNA (336 nucleotides) under Monodelphis domestica (gray short-tailed opossum). RNAcentral's name for it is "lncRNA (ENSMODG00000036380.1)". The record is from RNAcentral. Lineage: Eukaryota; Metazoa; Chordata; Mammalia; Didelphimorphia; Didelphidae.
GCAUGAAAGAAGAGGCAGCCACAGUCCUUGGACCUAAUUCCUCCUUCAGAUCUCCGCUUCUCAGCAUCCCUGCCUGACCAAAGAGAAGAUGAAAUGGUCUCUUCCCUCCAAAAGCAAGCAUUCUCCUGGUGGAUGGGGUGUGGAAACGGAAGUAAUUUCAAGAGAUCCCUACUGCUCAAGGUGACCAGGAAAGACCUCAGUAGCUGGUGAUGUCUGAACUAGGCUUUUGAAGUCAGAGGGCCCCUGAGGUAAGGGGAGCAGCCAAUGUAAGGCAGGGAGAUGGAGCAUAUCCAUCCCCGGGGAUCCAAGGGCUCUUUCCUAGCUGUGACAAGAUAC